This 400-nucleotide ribosomal RNA is filed under the name uncultured bacterium. RNAcentral describes it as "bacterial SSU rRNA". It matches the Rfam family "Bacterial small subunit ribosomal RNA", at positions 356 to 774 of the family's 1533-position model. The record is from RNAcentral.
GGGGAAUAUUGCACAAUGGGCGAAAGCCUGAUGCAGCAACGCCGCGUGAGUGAUGAAGGCCUUCGGGUUGUAAAGCUCUGUCUUCUGGGACGAUAAUGACGGUACCAGAGGAGGAAGCCACGGCUAACUACGUGCAGCAGCCGCGGUAAUACGUAGGUGGCAAGCGUUGUCCGGAUUUACUGGGCGUAAAGGAUGCGUAGGCGGAUACUUAAGUCAGAUGUGAAAAUCCCGGGCUUAACUUGGGAACUGCAUUUGAAACUGGGUAUCUAGAGUGCGGGAGAGGAAAGUGGAAUUCCUAGUGUAGCGGUGAAAUGCGUAGAGAUUAGGAAGAACACCAGUGGCGAAGGCGACUUUCUGGACCGUAACUGACGCUGAGGCAUGAAAGCGUGGGGAGCAAACA